This 486-nucleotide ribosomal RNA is filed under the name uncultured bacterium. RNAcentral's name for it is "bacterial SSU rRNA". It matches the Rfam family "Bacterial small subunit ribosomal RNA", at positions 29 to 507 of the family's 1533-position model. The record is from RNAcentral.
AUGAACGCUAGCGGCAGGCUUAAUACAUGCAAGUCGAGGGGCAGCAGGGAUAGCAAUAUUCGCUGGCGACCGGCGCACGGGUGCGUAACACGUAUACAAUCUGCCUUUACUGGGGGAUAGCCUUUCGAAAGAGAGAUUAAUACCCCAUAAUAGAUUGCUCGGCAUCGAGUGAUUUUGAAAGCUCCGGCGGUAAGAGAUGAGUAUGCGUCUGAUUAGCUAGUAGGUGAGGUAACGGCUCACCAAGCCAACGAUCUGUAGCUGGUCUGAGAGGACGACCAGCCACACUGGAACUGAGACACGGUCCAGACUCCUACGGGAGGCAGCAGUGGGGAAUUUUGGACAAUGGACGCAAGCCUGAUCCAGCCAUUCCGCGUGCAGGAUGAAGGCCUUCGGGUUGUAAACUGCUUUUGUACGGAACGAAAAGGUCCUGGUUAAUACCUGGGGCUCAUGACGGUACCGUAAGAAUAAGCACCGGCUAACUACGUG